UGCCCUAGUAACGGCGAGUGAAGCGGCAACAGCUCAAAUUUGAAAUCUGGCCUCGGCCCGAGUUGUAAUUUGCAGAGGAUGCUUCUGGCGCGGUGCCUUCCGAGUUCCCUGGAACGGGACGCCACAGAGGGUGAGAGCCCCGUAUGGUCGGACACCAAGCCUGUGUGAAGCUCCUUCGACGAGUCGAGUAGUUUGGGAAUGCUGCUCUAAAUGGGAGGUAAAUCUCUUCUAAAGCUAAAUACCGGCCAGAGACCGAUAGCGCACAAGUAGAGUGAUCGAAAGAUGAAAAGCACCUUGAAAAGGGGGUUAAAUAGUACGUGAAAUUGUUGAAAGGGAAGCACUUAUGACCAGACUUGGGCCGGGCGGCUCAUCAGGGGUUCUCCCCUGUGCACUCCGCCCGGCACAGGCCAGCAUCGGUUCUCGUGGGGGGAUAAGACCGACAGGAACGUAGCACCCUCCGGGGUGUGUUAUAGCCUGGCGGACGAUACCCCCGUGGGGACCGAGGUCCGCGCUCCGCAAGGAUGCUGGCGUAAUGGUCAUCAGUGACCCGUCUUGAAACACGGACCAAGGAGUCGUCCAUUAGAGCGAGCGUUUGGGUGUAAAACCCGCACGCGUAAUGAAAGUGAACGCAGGUGAGAGCUUCGGCGCAUCAUCGACCGAUCCUGAUGUUCUCGGAAGGAUUUGAGUAAGAGUUUUAACGGACGGACCCGAAAGACAGUGAACUAUGCUUGAAUAGGGUGAAGCCAGAGGAAACUCUGGUGGAGGCUCGCAGCGGUUCUGACGUGCAAAUCGAUCGUCAAAUUUGAGCAU
This 810-nucleotide ribosomal RNA is filed under the name Diaporthe cissampeli. Its description in RNAcentral is "eukaryotic LSU rRNA". It matches the Rfam family "Eukaryotic large subunit ribosomal RNA", at positions 76 to 918 of the family's 3401-position model. Lineage: Eukaryota; Fungi; Ascomycota; Sordariomycetes; Diaporthales; Diaporthaceae. The record is from RNAcentral.